GAGUCAAGUAAUCUUGGUUAAAAAUAUCAAAUCUCUUUAACCGGAUAUAUUUGACUACAG
This 60-nucleotide microRNA precursor is filed under the name Strongyloides ratti. RNAcentral describes it as "microRNA str-mir-8367 precursor". Lineage: Eukaryota; Metazoa; Nematoda; Chromadorea; Rhabditida; Strongyloididae. The record is from miRBase by way of RNAcentral.